RNAcentral lists this non-coding RNA (245 nucleotides) under Enterococcus haemoperoxidus. RNAcentral's name for it is "T-box sequence". It matches the Rfam family "T-box leader". Rfam says of the family: Uncharged tRNA acts as the effector for transcription antitermination of genes in the T-box leader family. T-boxes are found upstream of many aminoacyl-tRNA synthetase genes and some amino acid biosynthetic genes usually in Gram-positive bacteria. Lineage: Bacteria; Bacillati; Bacillota; Bacilli; Lactobacillales; Enterococcaceae. The record is from RNAcentral.
CCAAAACGUAUAAACAGAACAAGUAAUCACAGACCAUUUCCUGACAGAGACUUUUUUAUUGGCUGAGAAAAAAAGCUGGAAACCUUUGAUGAACACAUCUGUUUCAGUCAUCUUCUGAAUCAAGUAAGAAGAUGCGGCAUUCUCCGUUAUCAGAAAAGAAUCUUUAGCUUACAAAAGAUUCUAUGAGGUUAAUACUGUGAGGUAUUAGCAAAUUGAGGUGGAACCACGAUUCUUUCGUCCUCUUG